This 424-nucleotide ribosomal RNA is filed under the name uncultured Sphingobacteriales bacterium. RNAcentral's name for it is "bacterial SSU rRNA". It matches the Rfam family "Bacterial small subunit ribosomal RNA", at positions 356 to 777 of the family's 1533-position model. The record is from RNAcentral. Lineage: Bacteria; Pseudomonadati; Bacteroidota; Sphingobacteriia; Sphingobacteriales.
AGGGAAUAUUGGACAAUGGGCGCAAGCCUGAUCCAGCCAUCCCGCGUGAAGGAUUAAGGCCCUAUGGGUUGUAAACUUCUUUUCUCUGGGAAUAAAAAGCGGGAUUUAUCCUGCCUUGAAGGUAUCAGAGGAAUAAGCACCGGCUAACUCCGUGCCAGCAGCCGCGGUAAUACGGAGGGUGCAAGCGUUAUCCGGAUUCACUGGGUUUAAAGGGAGCGUAGGUGGCUUUGUAAGUCAGUGGUGAAAUGUCGCAGCUUAACUGCGAAACUGCCAUUGAUACUGCUUAGCUUGAAUCACGUCGAGGUGGAUGGAAUAUUACAUGUAGCGGUGAAAUGCUUAGAUAUGUAAUAGAACACCGAUUGCGAAGGCAGUUCACUAGGCGUGUAUUGACACUGAGGCUCGAAAGCGUGGGGAUCAAACAGGA